GUUCUGCCUUUGAGCUCCCACUGUACACCUUCACCUGUUGCCAAGGGUCAGGCUGCAGAACCAGAGCAUGUGCUUGCACAUAACUGGGGCUGCCCCCACCCCCGUAGGUGGCCUUUUUAAUUGUGAGCCAGGG
RNAcentral lists this small nucleolar RNA (133 nucleotides) under Propithecus coquereli (Coquerel's sifaka). The record is from RNAcentral. Lineage: Eukaryota; Metazoa; Chordata; Mammalia; Primates; Indriidae.